This 2031-nucleotide long non-coding RNA is filed under the name Struthio camelus australis. Its description in RNAcentral is "lncRNA (ENSSCUG00000002798.1)". The record is from RNAcentral. Lineage: Eukaryota; Metazoa; Chordata; Aves; Struthioniformes; Struthionidae.
CAUCGUGGCCUGCGGCGUAUGAGAAAUCAUUACUGUGAAGGAAUCCUUGCCAAGACUUGGAGAGUGUCUGACCCGCAGAGAAAUCUCAUGGAGGAUCCAAAGCAGUGACUGGCAAUCGUGAGAGCUGCAUAGAGAAGGGUAAGCAAGGUAAUUUGCCCUGCAUCCUGCUCUGAGAUGCUGGAGAAGACCUAAUCUUUACCUUACAAUAGAGGGUCCAGUUCCUGUUUUUGUUUUAGGAGUCUGAGACUGCUCUAUGAUACUGAGUUUCCGUAUACAGAUGAUAGGAGAGCGUGCCAGGCUUCAUCCGGACGUGACACGUGCCCUCAAACCUCAGACUAGAAAGGAUGGGACGCAUCGUGUGCGGUGAGGUACAGAUGCGAGCAGGUGGCUAUUGCCGAAGGGCAGACACAGCCAGUUGAUGCAGGUGCGCCUGGUAGGCUGUUGGCUGCAGUAAGCAAUAGCUUGGGUGUGAAGGUGACACAAGGCUUUUUCCAGAAUGUGGUUUGUUUUUACCAGGCCCUCUGCAAAGAGUGGUUAGCUUGUCCUUUUCCCAUCACCUCGCUUUAUGCUGUGUGCUAACGUGAAAUGACGAGCUUGUCUCCCUCCCUUCUCCCCAUCAGGGCCACGAGCGCUGAGAUCCGCGUUGACACAUGCACACUCACCCGCAGUAAGGGAGCUCCUGCUGCUGCAGAGUGAGGCUCUUCCUACACAAGUAAUGACUCCAGAUAAGGCCUCUGUAAGAAGCUGUCCCUUCAGGACUGGCAGGGAGCUUUCUGAAGGGAACCUUCCAACAGAGAAGGAGCAGAGCUGCAUGCAACUUUGAAAGUUAUUUUGAGGCAGUUUCUGCAAAGUAAGAGUUUAUUUAAGAAGUACGGGCCUCUUAGAUAGGUUUUGCUCUGCUUAUGUGAGAUACCUUCUCCUUUUCACUAGGUGGCAGCAAGAAGAUGGCUGUAAGCAUCGGGAGGAUUUUUUUUAUUACAGUAAGCAGAGAGUUUACAACUGGUUUCCUGUCUGAAUGGGUUUCCCUUGAGCAAUCCCCAUACCCGUACAAUCCUCAACCAGAAAAACAACUCACAGCAAGUCUGUCAAGAGCACUGGCACAGAUGCCUGAAACAUCUCUCUUCCAGACAGGAGAGGACAGACUCUGCAGAGCUACAGGAGUCGCUGCAUGUUUCAGCACAGAAGCCCCCUCAGACCUUCAGCACUCGGAUUAGAUUUUUGUUAUGCCAGCCAGCAAUGAACAGAGGACCCUUGGCUUUGGCUACAUCUCUAUGUAUUUGCUGAAGACCCCUCAUCAUUGCCUCUGCUAAGCUAAGGGACAUGCUUGGAAAUCCAUUGAGCCCUGUGGAAAGAGGAGAGAGCAAACGUUUUUGGAGAGAAUUUAAAUACAGAGCUAUGCAGAGCUAUAUGAAACCAUUACUAAAGAGAAAAGAGAGAGUGAAGAGGACCCCAGCUACCUUUGCAGAGCCCAAGCAAAAAUAUUGCUUUCCUUUGCUGAAAUCAAAGCAAAAAUGCUAAGCACAGCCCCUUUUUAAGCUAGAAGGAAGUCUCAAAGCCUGCCUCCUUCCCGCCUUCACGCUAGCUGCCACAGAGCAACUCUUACAACGUGACUGUGCCUUCUGGUAACACGCCACAGCUGGGCCAGCAGCUGGGAACCCUUUCUUUGCCAGAGCAAAGGAGGAAGCCCAUCUAGGGCCCUCUCCUGGUGCAGAGGGCUGCAUGACAGCAGCAUGCUGGUGCUUAGUUUGCCAAGAACAAAGUAUUGACAGAUGCAAUAGCAGGCAGAGGAAGGGGAUGGGCUGACUGCUCAGAGCUGUAUGACUGCAUGGUUACGGCAUGGCUAGUGGGAUAUGCAGGGUGAAUAGCGGUGCAUUGUCAGGUUGGUGCAGCCUCGGAAUUAUGGGUCUUUGUUCUGUGCUCAGAGGUAAUACCAAGGGCCUGUUGCCAUAUCCUCACCUCUCAGUGGCGUUGAGGGAGAUGCAUGGGACUCCGUUGCUGAACACUGGUAAAGACAUUGGCCAGACAUACGCC